GGAAUUUCACCUGCCUCAAGAGAUUAGAGCUGUCGUACAACUCAGGGUUGGAAUCGCUACAGCUGCGUUCCUGCACAACGCUGGAAGAGUUGACGGUUGAGUCUUGUGAAUCGCUCGCCACAUUAGAGGGGAAUUUCACCUGCCUCAAGAGAUUAGAGCUGUCGUACAACUCAUGGUUGGAAUCGCUACAGCUGCGUUCCUGCACAACGCUGGAAGAGUUGACGGUUGAGUCUUGUGAAUCGCUCGCCACAUUAGAGGGGAAUUUCACCUGCCUCCAAAAAUUAGAUCUGUUUGACAACCCAAGGCUAAAAUCACUACAGCUGCGUUCCUGCACAGCGCUGGAAGAGUUGACGGUUCGGUCUUGUGAAUCGCUCGCUGCACUAGAGGACUUUUGGUCCCUCAGAUGUCUCAGGUAUU
RNAcentral lists this long non-coding RNA (417 nucleotides) under Setaria italica (foxtail millet). RNAcentral's name for it is "long non-coding RNA (SITA_LNC007489)". The record is from RNAcentral. Lineage: Eukaryota; Viridiplantae; Streptophyta; Magnoliopsida; Poales; Poaceae.